GCAUCCUUGGUGUAACGGUAACACACAGCCUUCGACUAUUGAGACUCCCACGAAAUGUUAGGGUUGGGUCCGGGGUUCGAUCCCCCGAGGGUGCA
Mycena latifolia is the source of this 95-nucleotide non-coding RNA. Lineage: Eukaryota; Fungi; Basidiomycota; Agaricomycetes; Agaricales; Mycenaceae. The record is from the annotation of a GenBank genome assembly.